This is a long non-coding RNA of Felis catus (domestic cat), 21685 nucleotides long. RefSeq lists it as uncharacterized. NCBI's taxonomy places the organism in Eukaryota, Metazoa, Chordata, Mammalia, Carnivora, Felidae. The record is from RefSeq and is a predicted model, not a curated record. The transcript has 2 exons.
GAGCUGUCAGCACAGAGUCCGAUGCUGGGCUCCAACUCACAAACCAGGAGAUCAUGACCUGAGCCGAAGUCUGACUUCGGCUUGACUGACUGAGCCACCCAGGCACCCCACUAAGACGCAAUCUUAAAAGAUUGUAGGACAGGAAAAAUUUGCCAUUAUGUACGGUGACAGGUAUCAACGCGGCUGAUUUUGGUGAUCAGUUCACAAUGUAUACAAAUAUCAAAUCAUUGUGUGGUGCACGCAGAAUGAAUAUGUCAGUUAGUCCUCAGUGAAAAGAAAAAGUACUGACCCUCUGCUUUAAAGAAGUUCGAGUCGAAUACAGAUUUACGAAUACACAUGUUCGUUCGCAUUAUUCACAACGGCCAACAGGUGGGAAGCGAGCCGCAAGCCACGGGUGGAGAAGUGGGUAAGGAAAACGUGGGGCAUACAUACAGUGCUGUGUGAUGCUGCUUUGGAAACAGACGUCCUCUCCCAUGAGCCACCACGGGUGAAUCUUGAGGACAUUAUCCCAAGCGAAAUAAGCCAGUCCCCAAAAGCACAGCAUGAUUUCACUCACAUGAGGUAUCUACAGUGGUCAGACUCAGAAUCGGCAGGUGGAAGGGUGGUCGCCAGAGGGAGGGACCCGGGAAAGAAGGCCGUUCAGGUGGCAGGAUUCUCGGGUCUACAAGACAAACAGUUCUGACGCCUGCACGCGACAAUGGGAAUAUUCUGGAUGCCCCCGAACUGUAUGUUUAACAUGGUGACGAUGGCAACUUUUAUGUUCUGAAUUUUACCACUGUUUUUAAAAAGGCACUGAAAAAGAAUAACCCUUGCCUGCCUUUCUACCCUUCCCACCUGCCGCUCUAGUCGCCAGACCAGCAUUCCUAACACACACACACACACAGACACACACACACGAAUGUUCUGGCAGCAUGAACACUCUCCACGUCACGUGGAUUUUCUCAGGGUAACAGAAACUGUUGCUGUCCUGCAUCGCCGUCAGACAUUCCAUCGAUUUUCCUAAGCUUGAGGCUGAGGCUAUCUCCGUGAGAAAAACUCCAAGCAUAGAGAGUGGAUUUAGACAUCCACUGCGGCCAUCCAGAGGCGCACUUGAGGGCCGGAAGUGAUCCCGCGGCCACAAGGAUCUUGUUUUGCUCUGUCAAGUUUCUGGAAGGAGAACGCGACAGCUGGUAAGAAAGAAACCAGCAAAAAGCCCUAAAACGGAAGGCGUCGGCAGGGCUCCGUGCGCACACAGAAAGUCAUGUGGCUUGGGUCUUCCUCCAGGCCAUUCAAGAAAAGAAAUAUUUAUUGUUUUUCACGUGGGACGGUGUAAUGUUCCCCUUUGCGGAGUUAGCUUCUUUUCUGUCAAAUUUGGGAUUCUAGCCCAUUUCGACAGGUGCCACUUUUUUUUUGCCUUGUGAAUCCCAAUGACCACGUUGGAGUGUGAAUCAGCGCAGCGUCCUUACAGGUGGAAACACGCGUCCCUCAAUUAACACAGCCCAGCUCUCAGCUGCUACCUGACUUCUUUUGAUGUGUCCAGAAAGCUCUUUGGCUCUGGCCAAUCAGGGCCUCACCUCUGACCAAUCAUCCUCGCCCACCUUCUAUUUAAGGGACAUCCCCAGGGCUCGCCUGUUUCUUAAACUGCAGCCUGAGAAGGCAUGGGGCUGGAGUGGGUCGGGACUGGGGUCUCUGUAUUUUUAGUUUCUGCUUUUCUGUUUCUGCUUUCUUUGAGGGACAGGGAGUUUCCUGCUGCCUGGCUGGGGGAGAGGGAGGCAAGAUAAGUAGGGAACUUUCCUUUCCUUUCUCAGAAUCACAAAUUCUCGCGAAGUCACGAUUUGGGCACCAACAUCCCCUGUUUGUGCUAUAGAGAAAGCCCUGUUUUGUACUGAAGAACUUCCUUGGGCCAAGAAAACGCCAGAAGUGCUAUGUCGGGCCCUGCUCUUUUCUUCUGGGUCUUUGCUUGUUGGUUGAAGGCUGUUGGAAAAUCUGGGCCUGGGAUUAACCAGCUUUGUGGGAUAGAAGCAUUAAUCUUUCACAGGAAGGGCCCUAACUUUUCUGGCACUUUCUACAGAGGCCACCUGCAGGAAGGAGCCUCUUAGACUUGCUGGAGCUUCAUUUCUAAGUUUGGCAUAAUCUGUUAAAAAGGAGCCGUGCUAGCUUCCAUAGGAAGGGUUUCAAGCUACUCUGUGUCCUUAUCUGCCUCGAAAUCUCUACCUACUUUGUUUCAAAAGGCCCAAACAUUUUUUUCAAGAGCGGGGUGACGUUAAAGCUAACGUUCCUGACUGUUGGCUUUUUUAGGUUCUACUUUUUCUGUGUGGUUUCGCCCACCCGGGAGCCCCUUGGGUCCGUCUUGUUGGGACUGGGGACACAGGCCCGGCGUUAAGGAAGGACUUUCCCUGGGACCUAGAACCUAGUCCUUGCUGUUGUCUUUCUCCUGUUGGGCUCUGCCUUUGGCCUUUCAAGCUCCCCUUAUCUGUUCAGCUCUGGGAAGAGUAUACGUGAUUCCCUCCCCCCUCUCCUAGUCCGUAGGUGUUUGAGUCCCGGGCAUUUUUGAGCCGUUUAAAGAAGACCGCAUUUUUGAGCCGUUUAAAGAAGACCGUUCUUGCAAAACAGAAAAAUCACUGGGCUCUUAAGUUAAAUGGCAGCUCAGGUUCCUGGAAGAAGAGCCGGUGGGAAGCUUUGCCUUCAUUCGCAAUCAGAAGGCCCUGGGGCUGGCUGAAGGCUGUUGUGUGCUUUCAAACCUUAAUUCCUUCCAUGAAGGGCCAUUUUUUGAGAGUGCAAGUGGGGGAGGGGCAGAGCGGCAUGGGCAGGCUCUGAGCUGCCAGCGUAAAACCCAGUGUGGGGCUCAAACUCUUGAACCAGGAGAUCAUGACCUGAGCUGAAACUGAUCAACCGACUGAGCCCCCGCCGCCUCCAAGCGCCCCUAUAAAACCUUAAUUUUUGGAAAGCGGUUCAUGUGUCCACCUGACCCUAAUUAUGCUUUCAGGCCUAAAUUUAGGCCUUCCUUUACCUGAGUUCCUGACUUUGUCCUACUUCUCCCAGAUGAAAGGCCAGAAACAAGAUGUUGAAAACUCCGCGUGUCCUAGGCUUUUUUAUACCCCUGUCCUGUUUCUGUCAUCAGUGAUCCACUAACAAGAGCGAUUCGGUCUACCUCCUGGGGUUACUGUGAGCCUGAUCUAGACAUGGGCUCCAAGCUAUCCCUUCUAGAAUCCAGGUGUACUUGGUUAAGCAUUUUGCAUCUAUUCUGCCACUUAAAUGUCGAAACGGAAAGGCCCGGUCGCCCCCUUGGUGUUGGGCUAAAAGUGCAGUUCAGAGAGGUCCAGUCAUAUGUGAACGUAAGAGUUCCAGCGCAAGCUAAGUCUAACUCCAAACCCAAGUCCUGAAGCACAGUACCACGCCAUGAUGUGACCAAAGUAGAAGUCCUAGGGCGCAUAGAAUCUAGGAGGAGACCAAAUCUGCGCUCCUGUGCAGAUCACCCUGUGGGGAGGAGUUAAGAGAUCCAGGCAGAAAGGGGUCAUUAAGCAACCUAAGGAUGUAGGUGGAUUCCCCGAGGACAAAUACGCACGAGUAGCCGUGGGGCAGCUGAGAAAGGGGCCAAAAGUGCAUCCAAUUAACUCCUAAUUUACUGUUGCAACGUCUGUGUUCAACGAUCUCUAAAGUUUGCCCAGGUAUCAGGGUGUAUUCCUUAAACCUAAACACUGUAUAGUAACCAUACUAGAGUUGAAGUUUCAUGAAAAGUGUUGAUAGAAACUAAAACAGUUGUAAACAGGAAUGUGGGGAGGAACUAACGUUAAUUAAAUGCCUACCGUAUGCUAAAAACCCUGAGGGUACUAAUCACCCUUUUCCACAAGGGCACAUACAAGGUGUUCUUAAAGGGCAGGGGUGGUGGCCGGGCAAAGUUGCUGUGCCUUUUCUAACUUAAUUGUGGAGCAGUUUCAGGCUAAUUCCCCACACUAGUCAAGUUGAUCCUGGACUUUUCUGUCCCCCUGGGUAACCUCUUGGCUCACCUAGACAAGCUCUUUUGUAUCCAGACUCCUGCCUCUGGGCUGAAAAUGGGGGAAGUGCCGAAGAAUGGCCUUACAAAGCUGUUAAACCUCUAAGAAGCUUCCUGGAAGAUUUUAAGUGAUGACCCACCCUUUAGCUUCGGAACUACCUCGAGGGCAAGAUGCAUCCUUCUAAAGGUGACCUCGGAGAAAAUACAUGGCACACCUGUCUCCAUUUGCAUCAGGGAAAGGACUGUCGAAGCUCCAUUAGUUUCUUCCUUUGGCUGAUGGGUCUGGCUGCAGACAAGGGUGAGCUUAAGCUGCUCAGCCCGUAAGACUGUUCAAGUUCCACCCACAGGUGGGUGUCUGGUAAGCGUAGUGGUGUUCAGUUGUGAAUGUCAACACCUUUGUGUGGGGCGCGGACCUCUCUGCUCAGCGAUUAGGUCACGGGUCUAUCGUUGGGGUCUUUGCUGUGGUCUCCCCUCACCUUUGUAAACUGUUCCAGGUGAACGGAGAAGUCCUUGUUCUCAGACGCUGUCCUAUUAGAUACUUGAGUGCCCGAUGCCCAAUUAUCCCAGACCUGGUGCCAUUGCCACCAUGUCACUGAAGCCUGCUCGGAUGCUUUUAGAGUGAGGUUCUUGGCCUGCCAGCCCCAGAAUGCCUGGAGACCAUCUGAGGGCAUCUAGCCUGUAUUAAGGUCCCGUGGCUGCUGGGGCACAUGACCACAAACUGGGGGGCUUAAAACAAAUACAUUCUCCCAGUUUGGGAGCCUUAAGUCCAAAACCUGUAUCGGGCAGAAGUUCAGGUGCCCUCGGGCCAUGCUUGUGGCAGGCCCUCCAGGGGUGGGGGUUCCAUGCUGCCAGCACCCUUGGCUUACAUCCAUGUCCUGCAGUCCCUGCCUUGGGUCACAUUGUCACCUGUGUCCCCUGUGUCCCCUCUGCCUGAGACACAGGACAUUGAGGCCCACCUGGGUGACCUGUCCAUCUUCAGUCUCUGUCCUAGCUCCGUCUUAGCCACUUAAUGUUCCCAGGCCCAGGGAUUAGGUCACGGGUAUAUCUUUAGGGGCCACGACUCACCUAUCACACCUUGCAUCAUAAAGGCCAAUCUAUAACUUAGUCCAAGGGUCCUGCCACCUUCUCUUGCCCCUGGUGGUAGGUAGGGGAGUCAGGGGUGUUGGUCCCAGUGCUAAACAAGAGGGUCAACCCCAGCCAUGUGGCAUGGAUGUGCUGAGGGAUUCUGGGGACCUGUGUAUGUGAAAAUGAGGGGUCCUUGAGGAGCCAGGCCUUCCAGGGCUGUAUGAAGCACGAAGGCACCCCAAAGAAUCUGGACAGUGGCCCCUGACAAGCCAGUCAGGUGUUUGUCAUAACCCCUGGGGUUGGGGGAUGGUGUAUAUAUUGGAACAGUAUCUGCAAAAGGUAAUUUGGGGUGGAAAGAAUAAAGGAGUUCUCAUAAAAUACCGGGCAAGGUAUGGUGCAAUAUAAAGCCCAGGGAUGGCCCCUCAGUACCAUGAGGGUGCUGACUACCUCACCUGCUGGGCCUUGGUGGUCCCCGGCCUCCACAGACACGCUGGCCGAGACACUUUUCACUCUGGAUCAGUGGGGCAGACGGACCCCUUGGCAGCCGUUACUCUGAUGCAGGAUCUAGGAGAAUAGCACGAGCACCGUUGUUUUCAUGCCGGACGACAGAAACGAGGCUGCUGGCUCACGGGCAAGGGCGCUGCAAGAUUGGGCUUCAGAGCCGUGGACACACAAGGUCUCUGCAGGUGCGCAAGGAACGAAAGGAAAGGUCUAAGGCUAAACACAAACAACCCAGAGGCUUUCAGAAUUGAAGCAGUGAAUAAAUCCAAGUCGUGUCAUCUCUCAAGUGUUGAAAGAAGGAUUUGCACGGUUGUCCCGAAAAUGCCCUAAGAGUGAAAGCUUAAUUAUGAAGAGUUGACUUUUAUGAGAGGCUACAGAGGUCCUUGUGGGUUGAGGGAGGGCUUUUCUCUCAGAUACUAUGUUGCAUCUCCGUGUGGGACCCCUGCAUCUCUAUCCCCAUGUUCACAGGGUUGGAACCGGUGAUGCCCCAUAACUAGAGUGUGGUCUCUACACAUGGUCCCUAGCCACUACCUCCUGACUUUGUCUCAAUCUCCCGGAAUAACCUGUGGCCCCUAGGCUCUUCUGGUUCCAGCCCCUCCCACCCAUGACUGGAAAGUCUCCUGGACAGUGGUGCAGGGUGAUCUUUGAUGAAUGUGCUCCCAGCUCUCCAGGGGCUCCUCAGAGUAGAUCUCUUGGGCAUUAAAAGUCCUUCCUGCUAAACAGACUCCAUGUUUCUCUUCAUGCUUCUUCCUGGGUCUGGAGGUCAUCUGGUCAGCCGGAAGACCUUCCAAUCCUCUUUCAACCCGCAGGUGAGUUAGCCCUGCCUGCAAGAAGCCUUCCCUGGCCUUGCCUCUCCUCUCCCAGCCUCUGGUUAGGCCCUCUGUUUGCUGAGUGUCUAGAGCCUCUUGUAAGGUCAAUCACUGAGUUGGCUGAUUUUCAGUCUACUAGCUCUCUUAAACAGAACUUCCUUGAACCAUGAUCUUAUGGGGAAAUACACCUGAAACCUGGGGUUCCUGCAGCCCCCCCAGACUGACCACAGCCCCACUUAGUGGUGCUGGUGCUCCGCCACAACCACGGCUCAUGCCGGGCAAUCUGUUACCACUAAUUGAAGAUGGGCUCCAAGAAAACCACAUCAACAGGAAGCUCCUUAAACUCCUGGGGGGCAGCCUGUCUAACAUGGCCGCCUUCAUGUGCUGUCCUCCAUCUGGAUGCCUGGCACAUCAUGGGCUCCCAUAGUGUCACUUAAUACAUGUGUGAAAGAUGAAUAGAUCUACAAGGAGAACAACGGUGGGGAGGGAUACCAGAAAAGGCUCAAAUAAAAGCGGUGGGGGCUUGAGGCUGUGGUCGGACGGGGAAGUCCCCAAAAUGUCCACUGCCCCAAUUGCCGUUGAGUCCCUUGCUCUUGAACGAAGGUCGUGGGGGAAAUCUGAGCGCUAGAAGCAUGAGCCCGCUGGUUGAGGUUGACCAAAAAAAAACCUGGAUGGAAUUAUUUCCAAGUGCCUAGCCUGCUGUGUCUGCAGCAAGCCCUGGCCUCGAGGGUUCGGGAUCCCGCAGAUGCUGCAAAUAGUAUUUCUGGCCCCCGCUGAAGCCCUUAUUCAGCUUCACACCAUUCUUGCUCUGCUGGAGGUUCAGAUCCACGAGCCGCAGGAAGUGUGGCAGAGACCAAGAAAUCCAAACUAGUGGCCCCGGGGCAGUUGGUGGCACCCCAUGUUGUCCAGCCCGAUUUUUAAAGAUGAUCUGGAGUGACAUCCAGUGGAAAGGAACGGGAUGAAAGCAGGGAAGGUUAAUUUGUUAUCGGAGGGAUCAUUCAGCUGACACGUGGUUAGACUUAAAGCACAUCAUCAGAAGCUGCUUUCCAGUCCAAGUAACAGCUGGUGCACCAAGUAGAACUUCCGGGUGGCAACAUGUGCACUCCUACUGAAUUUGGACACCAGGUGUCAUGAUACCCACACAAGAUAGGGAGCUGGUACGCUGUCCAUUUGGUUCAGGUGAGUAUACGUGAGCCGUGUGCCCCUUGACCCAUUGGGGAGGUCCUAGGGGCAAGUGCCAGCCCCAGAGAUGGUCACUGCCCAUGCCCUGUAACAGGUAAGCUGCCUCAGCCUUUCUUGGGAAGAGAGCAGUGAAUAAAAAAUAUUUUCAAGGUGCUUAAAUACUAUGGGGGGUGGGGGGACCCCCUGGCUGUUUCCGUGGAUAUAGCAUGUGACUCUUGAUCUCGGGGUCAUGAAUUCAAGCCCUAUGUUAGGUGCACAGUUGGCUUAAAUAACAAUACAGGCAAAAUGGUAACCAUUCAUGCUAAAUGUCUGUGUGCUUAAUCUGGUUUUCUAUAGUAGGGAACAAAUCUAGUAAACAGAUUAUAGAGCAGAGGAUUUUAGGUGUUAAUACUUGUCAAUAAAUGUGGGACAUCAAGGUAUGAAUGGUGUUGUGAAGGUAAGAGGGCAGAAUAGCCUGCAGGUUAAGAUACUCAAGGGACAGUUCUGGUAAGAAGUCGAUCUUGAACCCUCCUCUUGAAGUAAGGUGUGCCCAGGAACUUGGAGGCCGGAGAGCCUCAAGUAUGGGAGGACAAAGUGGUAAAACUUGGACAGCAGGAGCAUCAGGAGGUAAAUCCUUAGAAGUUGAUCUUGAAAACACGGAGAUGUACUUGAAGGCGCGUGCACACCUACAACACCACUACAUGAUGCUUAACUAAUGGCUGACCUACAAAAGAUCUGAAUAAAUGAAGGAAUAAAUGGUUUGUAUUCAUAAUUGAAGCAAAUUCAGUAGCCAUCCCUAGAACAGUGUCUCCGGGUAGAAUGGUCACAUGAACUUGCUUAAACACCUGUUCCAUCUCAGAGCUUCAGAGCAUACAAUGGAUCUGAUAAAAGCUCUUUCUCUAGGGUCUGGGGGCAUGGAUGGAGGCUCCGAGGGACCCUGGGAAUAUAGGAGCUCAAGCUUGCUUGUCUUCCUUGAAGAAAUCGUUUAGGUCAUUGGUAACUAUCCUUGUGUACCAGAAGACACUUGAGGUCCAGCAUUUCUAGAAGAUGUCUCUGGAUGACUCCUAAGUCUAAAAUCUGUGUCUCCAGUAUGAACAACAAAUUAAAAUACAAGAGGUUCUUUUUUUAAGUGGAACGAACUAAGCUUGGGAAAUGCUAUGCCAACUGAUGGACUUGACUUUAGCUCAUUGGGAAGCUGUCCCAAUGCACUGCUCAUACAUCCUGAUCUAGAUGCUCUAGUGUGGUCCCCUCUUGCCGACUAUGGGCUGGCCCAGUCCUGAAGAACCAGGAGGAUAUUGGAAAAGUGACAGAAGAUGGAAAAAGACAUCAAAUUUCUGUUAACUCACUCUGGUGGGAGCCCCCUGACCCCAUGUAAGAGGCUGUCCAUGAAGAGAUUGUCCAGAAGACGGUAGGCUCCCACCAGCCACAUAAAGAAACCUUCCCCACACCCCCCCCCCCAAGCUACUGCAGCUGUCAUAGCCUGGGGCCAGACGUGCAAGAGGGGCCAUCUUGACUGUCAUGCCCAGUGACAAUAUUUAGGUGUCUGAAACCACAGCCAGUGUGUAACUGCACCCUCUUGAGGGACCCAAGAUCAGAAGCUCUCUACUAAACCUCUACCAACAGAACUAGAGUAUUACAGUAAGUUCAUAAACAGAUAAGAAAGCCUUGGGUUAAUUGAAACAAGGUACAAAACAUUAAAAUUCUAAGUGAUAAAAAUGUAAAGCAAUCUUUGAAACCAAUUUACAGUCAUUACUGGGUUCUCUCUAAAGUAUAGAAACAUUUCCUCUGUAGUAAUAGUCCUGACAACCUUAUGACCUAUCCUUCUUCCCGUUUCGGACUGUUUCCCCAGAAUCCUUAUGUUCUAAUCCCCAUGGUGAUGGGAUUUGGAUGUGGGACCUUAAGGAGAUGAUCCCGUCACGAGGCGGAGCCUUGGUGAUUGGGGCUGGUGCCCUUACAAGAAGACCCAGGGAACUGAUGAUCUCUCUGCAGAGAAUAUGGCAAGAAGGCUAUUGGCAGGCCAGGAAGGGUCCUCACUAGGAACUGAUCCAGCCAGCACAUGGUCUUAGAUGUCCCAGUCUCCAGAACCAUGAGAAAAACUUUUGUGUUCCAGCCACCAAAGCUGUAGUAUUUUCUUUAGAGUGGCACAAACCGAGUGCACUGGUCAUGAGGGAUAGACUGGUCCUAAACUAACUGACCAGGUGCACUCAGUAAAAUAAGCCUUCAAGCCUCGUUUCUGACUUUAAUACAUAUAUCCUUAAGUUUGAGUGAAAACACAAGUAGGGGAGGGGUAGAGUGGGCGAGAGGGAAUCUCAACCAGGCUCUGUGCCGUCGGUGAUAGAGCCUUGAAGUGAGGCUCAAACUCCUGAAACUGAUAGGACCUGAGCAGAAAACGAGAGUCGGACACUUACUGACUGAGCCACCCAGGUGUCCCUGUCAAUUAAAACAGGAAGCAUUUUUUCUUGUACCUCUUCAGGCCACCUAAAUUCAUCAAUGUGCCACACAACUAAGUACUGAGGGUCCUUCAUUGUUUAACAUUUACUGAACUUCAUAUGAUUUGCUUCUACCCAAGUGCUUGGAGUGUUGGCCGCAGUACUAAACUUUGAAGGAACCCUGUGAGGGAGAUGACCUCCUGUCUUUUGACGCUCUUUUUCCUCAUGGUGAUGAGGUUUUGGGGUAAUGGUUGGGGGUUCAUGGUGUCCAGAGCUGACAGCCAAGUACGAAUUCUUAAAGACACUUCUGUUGGAAAUAGGUGAUCCCGUAAAGCAUGGGGACAGGACCCAAGGGCAGAACGAGCUGCCCUGGGGUUGUGAAGAGUGAUAAUAAACUUGGGAGUUGGGGAAGGUCAAGUCGCACGGAGAUUCCUAGAGGGACCUCGAUAGGCUAAAGAGGACUCCUAAGAUACCUGAGGCCUUGCUAUUGUCAAGCUUGAGGUGGUUUUUCCUCUUGGAAGGCAUCAACGUCAGGAUGGUGUGGGUUCUGGGAGAAACCUACUCUGUCCUGGUCUCAAGGACUUGUCUACGGGCUCCAGGUUAGGAAACUUAAUUUUACCUGCCGUUUUCUACUUGGUUCCUCACAUGACUGUGGAGAAAGGGGGGUGAUGUUGGGGCUCUAGGAAACUGAGUUGAUAGGCAAUCUUGUCAACAGCCUCAUCUCCAGAAACCUAUGUCUUUUAACUUAGGAAGAUUAUUCUUGGAUUAUGGUCAACUUGUCUAAAAUACAAGGUGUACGGUGUGCUCAUUAGGAAGAUCUUGAACUGAUGAAGAUUCCUGUCCUGCGUGACUGUGAUCUGUACCACUUAACCAUCUGUUUACUUUGUUCUUGGGUAGCUAGGAGAGCCCGAAGUGGGUCCUCUAUAUCCCACUAGGUGUGUGUGUGGGCGGGGGGGUGCUGUUAGCCUGUAGUUGACUCUCAGCUGGCCCCAGGCUGCCUCAUCAAUAGCACAGAGGAAAGAACUAACGUACGUUUGACCUGAGACCCCCUGAUAGUCCCUAUGCUACCCUUCCUUUUUUUUGGAGAGGUGUCCUCAUUUCAGCCAUUGGAACUGUCUCCUCUUAGACUUGGUACACGGGCUAUAGCUCUGGCCUGGAAGGGUGCGUCACACAGCCUGUUCGGGGAUCCUGUCACCCAGAAUCCUGUUGGGUGUAAUUUCGACCCUGCGUUCACCCCUUCAAAUACAGUACACCUCAUUCAGCAAAUACUUGCAGAUCCCAACUUGCCGAGUAGUUUACUAGCCUACAAACCUUGUAGAAACAACCCGAACAUUCUGGAAAAAACCCUAUCAUGCUUGCCUUUCUGUCCGCUCUUAGCGGAAGCGUUAAAAUGCUACAGCUUUGUAGGUGCGAAGGUGUUUCUCACACAGAAUUCUGUGCCACAGCCCAGGGGAAGCCACGGUCAGGAACCACUCUAGAACCACGUCCUACUUCGCUGGUCCAGGAUCAACCUUGUUACCUACCACUCUGACAGCCUGUCCUCCUUGGCUACCUCCAGAGUCAGCCCAGAGACCCGAUCCUAGCAAGUGGGGCCAGGGUGAGUCUGCUGGAAUGUUUUGCCCCAGCGCCCCAGAAAUGCUGUUUGUACCGCCAGCCUUGACGGCCGGGGCCUGCCUGUCCUUUCCCAGUUUGCAUUGCUAACCUUCACUGAAGAAGGCUUGUCCUGGCUCAUUUUUCACCAUUCCAAAGCAAAUGUCACUGGAAAGAAAAAAAGACUGGCCUACCGCUUGUCAAAAAUGCCUUGUAACCAUCUCUAGGCACUAGAGAGGGAGGAAACACGGUCAUUUUCAUACAAAUAGACCUAAGUUAAAGGUGUGUUGUCAAACGUCUGAGCCCUGAAGGGGUUGAGGUAAAACCAGGAGAGAAAAUCAACGAUUUUUCAUGGACCUCGGCUCAUUUGCAUUCUCCUAUUUCACUGAAACAAAGCAUUUGUUUAAAGGAAAACCUGCCAGGCUGGGUUUUUGUUUAAGGAAAAGUAGGCUUCUGAAGACAGAACUACUUAAUAUUACAGACGUUUAAAUUCGUACACUUAGAAGGGUAAAAGCAGGUAUAAAACAUCUUCAUUAAACCCGUUUUUCUGCAAAGGACUGAGCGUUGGCGUUUGGCUCCUUGGAAGCCUGGCGUCCGAUUCCCUGCCUCCUGUGGCCCUGAAGGCGUCAUGACCCCACGCUGCACGGUCUGCGGGUUGGGCUGCAAAUGGGAAUUGUUUGUGCGGAAAGCUGAGGGAAUGCAGCCGUAACUUGUCAACAGUUUCAGAUCUGCAAAGAGCAGGGAACCAGGACCGAUAAGAAGAGUCCCCCGCGUCAGAGGCUGUGGCUUGGAACUCACACUGGGGCGAGGAGGGGAGAAGGGGGAGGCGGCUGUUUUCUCUUCCAUUGUUUUUCCAACCAAGUGCAAGGUCUAAACAGGAUUCUGAGCCGAUGGGUGUGUUUAUGCAGACGCAGGAAACCAGGGGAACAAAGGAAAGGAGGUGGGAGUUUUAUCCCCACCCAAGUACAAAGCAAGAAUGGCUGAUGUUAAAAAGCCUCCAUAGCUUGCCCGUGAACUUAAGCAAGACACUUAGCCUGGUAGAAUGCCGUGGGUUUGGCAAGUACUGGCUGACCACACAUCCUUCUAUGCUCUGGCCCAUUGCCCUGCCAGCUGGUAGUUGAUGUGUCCACAUCUGCCUCCCAGGACCUAUAGCGAGCGCCUCAUGCCUGCUAAGGCACAUGGCCAAAACCAGAGACCUCAGCAGCCCUGAUGGAGAAUGUUCUAGCCCUGCAACCAUGUAAAACAGGCAGAGGGAGGACAUGGGUGCAAUGGUCUAUCCCAACGGUGCUUGUGCUUCUGCUAGGUAAUUGGUGUGGAAGUGGGAGGGUUGAGCCCAGCCGGUGGGGUUUCUGGCCUUGACCGCAGGCUUGGGGCAUGCUUCAUAAUGGCUUUAUCCGCAUCGCCAGCUCAGGGCACAGGAAACCUGAUGGCAAGAAGUCGGGGCUGCCCGUGCUGGGGGCACGUAAAAAUAGUUCUCCAGUGCCAGCUGCGGGGUCAGGCACUCGACUCAGUGCUUUGCAUACAUAAUCUUGAGUCCUUAAUUCAACCCCUCUGAGCUGUGUUAAAAGCAACAUUCCCCAAGAGGAAACCAACUUACAAAGGUUAAAUAACUUCUGCGCUGUGGCAGGGCAGAUAAACAGUGGAGACAGGAUUUGAGCCCGGAAGCUUCGUGGCAGUGCACAGAAGGCUCUCCCAGGCCUCUGCACAUCCAGGUAGAAAGAAGGGAAAUUGCAUCCGGAGGUGAUGGUUCACCCUGCAGGUCCCAGAUGGAGAUGCAUCCAGGCCUAGGUCCCAAAAGCCAGCUUGCAAAACCUCUAAGUGUUUGAUGGGUUAGCAUCUUCCCUUUAAUGGUGCUGUUGAGGGUUGGCUAAUCUGGGGUAAAAGCCCAGAACUCACAUGAAGAGGAGUGUCUUCGAAGAGAGAGAAAAGUAUAUGGCUAUUUCAUAGGCUUUUGGAGACGCCGGGGAAGGGGGAUUCUGCACCCCCCACCAGCACCUCUUCUUUUCUGGAAUGCAAAUGGUCCAGAUACUGAGAGGUGAGAAGACACCUGCCUGGAUGUCAAGUGCACAGGCCACACAAAAGGUAGAAUCUGGCCACGAUCUCGGAUCCCUCAGGAUGCUUCAGGAAAUAAACUGGUACCUAGAUGAGGGGACUGAACACCCUCCUCCCUUCCGUGUGAGCUCUUAAAUCUUGGGAGCCUUGCCAGGUGUGAUGACUAAGACAGGACUUAGUUGUCAUAAUCUUCCUAUCCACUGUCCUGUUGGGUCCCCAAACUGUCCCCCUCUACUGACAGAGUUGUUAGUGGAUUCUACACUUCGUAUUCUGUGCAUCUUGUUUAUCUCUUUAUUUGGCUUUAGAAACGAUGAUCCAGCACUUACCCUACCUGGUAACGUCACUAGAGGGUGAAUUCCUUUGAUGGGCCCACCCAGCUCUUCGGUGGGUUAGCUUCCUGUCCCAUGAAAAAGCAGUUCACAACCUAACUUCUGCCUAACCUCCCUCAAACCCCACUAAAUAGGGAAAUUGCAAAGCUUACGGUCCUGGGGCAGCAGUGAAUCUGCCAAGAGAGAGUCCUAGGCUUGUAGAGUGGUCUUCUGCCCUGCUCUCCGAUAAGUGUGCCUUUUAUUAGUCCUAGAGUAAGCACAGUGGGGGCAUAUAAUGAAGUGAAAAAUGAUUAGACUCCAAAAUAGCCUGUUUAUUGGUUAUUCAAAGAGUAUUUCACUACCAAGUCUCUUGAGUUGAACUCCUCUGGCUGCCCCGAAAGGCUGUUUGACAGUUCUUCAUAAUAAGUAUGGAAAAGAUAGGUUUAGUUACUGAACUUGGCUUUCUUCUCUAGCAUUUCUGGGGGGUCCCCAAAGCUGAGAAGCUGUCAAGGUCUCCUCACAUAUAAUUGAACUUGGCGCUUGUAGGUAAUCCUGUACACAAAACUCAGUAGACCACGAACACCUCAAGGGCAGGAAUUGUAUUUCUUGUAUGUUCAUGGAAAUGUUAACUGGUUAAAUAGAGAAAAGGUUUUCAUAGCAACUUCUAAGCCCAUGUCAUUCUUUGCCCCUUCCUGUUAGGUGCAAAAUGUGGAUUCAAGGCAAUUAAUAAGUUUCUACGCACAGAAAACCUGACCACACUUCUUGUAAAGGAGGAAGCAGGAUUGCAAGUCAUGAGGCUUGGACCCCAUCCCACCUAAUUCAUGCAGCUCUGCAGCGACUGCAGAUCAAACUGACCUUUCUCCGGGUCCCUAUUGUGCUUGGAGAUCGUAUCACCCAGUGGAGCACAUAAUUCGGCAAUAAGUUACUGUAUGUGCUAUGUUGCAUUUUUUGACGAGGCUGUAAAUGCCCGGAGCAGAUAGCAGCACUACCUGGUCGAUAAUGAGUAAAGUGACCAGUUCUUCCUGGUUUUCACACUGGAAGUCCCCUGUUACAGGAAACCCUUCCGUUCUCUGAAUCUGAAACCAGGACAAAGGACAGCUGGUCACUGCCAUAGUGGUUUGUUCCAUUGGCUACGUGGCUAAUUCUGAGCUUUCAUCAACUUGGAGGGUUUUAGGUAACCUGCCAUUCGUGGUGGAAACACAAACAUGUAAGCAACUACUUUAACAAUAUUUUGAGUGGGCUUUUUGUUGAAUAUAAACCUAUCUCUAGACCUGAUCUGCAGAUUUGGGUUGGCCCAUUCCUAGGCAUUCUUAGUUUCAGUGGAACCCAAGAAAUCAUGUGACCAAAGUUGAAUCAAACGGAGCCUGGCAAGAUGAGGGGAAUUGAACAAAAUCUCAAAACUGUAGAAAGAGGAUGACGACGAUCGCUGGAGCCAUAUUUGUCCCAGGACUGGGCUCAGCCACCCCCACUUCCUGGACCACAGUAUGGGCUUUGUGGCCACACCCAAGUAUCCUACCACAACUUCCUUUUUAUUGGGUUUUCUUUUGCAAUCAAAAUAGCCAUAUUUUGAGGUGGAGGGAAAUGCAGUAGUCUAUAUUUAUGUGCUGUUAAUGUGUAGUAGGUCCAACUUAACCCCAAAACGGUUCGUAGAAACUGCACCUUCUAUUCUGAAAGGAAAGGAAUUCUUGGCAGCUGCCAUUCCCCUCCAAUGAGCAAACGUCAUCCUCCCAAGAGGCCAUCUCUGUAUCUGAGUGUAGGGUGAGUGUACAGCUAGGUAAGUCCUGAAGAGCCCUCCUACCCAUAGUGCUGCCUGUAGGCCAGGAGAAAGGAGGUCUCGGUGCUAGAAUUCUUCAAAGUGAUGGGCGGCCUGCUUCGAUGACCAGGAUGCUUGUUAACCUUCCCGCACUAAGGCUGGGAUCCCAAAUCUGCAAGUGUAGAGUCCAGACACCUACGUUUCAGCAAGCACCCCUGUGCGACCUGUCCGCACGGUGAAUUUGGAGAAUCCCUGUGUGAGACUCAAGAAAAUCCUAGGCAGCAGGCCAGAGAUGGUAAUGACGUGGUGUCUCUCCCUACCUGAAUAUCCAUUCAACGAGAGUAAGAACUUGGCCUUGUUCAGUAACGUCUCCAGUGCCUAGAAUAGAAGCUGGUAACAAGUCAGUGAAAGAAAUAAUCUGCUGAAUAACUGAAUCCUAGAAGUCCCUAAACAGUGCCACAAAUCUGAACUUCCAGAAAUGUCCAUGUAAUCACUAAUGGUCUUAUAAUCUAAUAGCAAUACUAUAGAAUUGGAUUUUAUUUUCCUGCUCUUGAGCCUUUGGGCAGUUUAUUGAAGCAGGAAUUGGAAUUUCCAGUGGCCUUAUUCUAGCCAUUACUUCAGUAGACUUGAUAUUGUCAACACACUUGGACCUUUUUUGUCUUAGGAUGGAUUUUUUUUUAAGAGAAAAACUUGCUGGAGGAAUUGUUCAGAUUCUGGACUAUGGAUCCACCAUUUCUCAUAUCUACAGAAACCGCUGUCCACAAGACAGACUGUUGCAAAAGCGGCUUUCAGUGACAAAGUCCCCUGGGUGGUAUUUCUCAGCUUGGUGCAUGGGAGUCCUCUCCCUGGAUACCUGCAUCCCAGCCCCAGAGACUUUAGAUUAAGUCUCUGGGAUGUGAUGUGGGAAUCCAGAUCCUUCACUAGGUGAUGCUAACAUGCUACCCAACUAGGGAGCCCUCCUGCUGCUGGACUUGGCAUGGCUAAUGGUCUGAUAUAGCCUGCCUUCUAUCUUCAUCUGUGUUUGGGCUGCUUGAACAAAACUGCACAGAUUGCAUGCCUAGAAACAAGAGCUCCUUUCUCAUUUCUGAAGGCUGAGAAGUCCAACAUGGAGGGUGCUGGCAGAUGAAGGAUCUGAUGAGGGUCUCUUGGCUCAAAAAUGGGUAUUUUUGUCCCUGUGUCCUCACGUAGUUGGAAGGGUGUGGGAGGAAAUGCUCUUAAAAACGCAAUGGUCCUGUUUCGGAGGGCUCACCCUUCUCCCCUAAUCACCUCCCAAACACUCCACCUCCCAAACCAUGACCUUGGAUGACCUUUCGGCAUAAGGAUUUAGGGCUGAAACAGACAUGGAAUCCAUUGCUACUUAGCUCAUCCCGCACAUAACUUGUGCUACAUCAUUUCACACCCAUCUGGUUUCCAACAGCGUUGGAUGUUUUCACCCUCCAAAUACUCAACAUCCACAUACUGUUAAAUUGAAAUCGUGGCUUUAACUUGUAAACACAGGCAGGGUGUCUACUGAGGUGUGUGUGCUGGGAACAUGAAGUUUAACAAUCUCUCCAGCCUCGGCUCUGAUGAAUAUUGAAGAUCAGAGAAAAACAUACUUGGGUCCGGGGUUCUUUCAGGAAAAAAAAAGCGAGUCUGUUUGCUUUGCCAGGACAGGAUACCUGUCCUUGAACUUACCUGCUUCAGGCUUUGAUCAGCUUGCUAGAGCUACAUGGUGAUUUUUUUCUUCAUCGAUAAGAUGUGAACUUUUGAGCCCAUCUUUGGCUAGUAUCCAUGCCAUUGUUCACUUCAUGUAGGAGAAUCUGCAAACUAUUUUAACAGUUUCAUUAAGCAGCUUUAGUAAAAAUGAAAACUAAGUCAAAAUGACGAAUUUCAGGGAGCUGUUGCAGCGGGUGGCGUUGGUAGAAUGAAGCCUGUUGCUACACAGAAUACAAAUGACCCCCUGAUGAGCUGCAGGAUAAAGGAGAUUAAGGAAUUUGUUCUGGGACUGACAGCAGAUCUUGAUUUCUUCUUGACAAUUCGCUUCGUAGUUGUCCUCCUUCCCCUUCUUUCCUGACCUUGGUGAGGAUCUAGCAACUGCCUUGUGACCAGGACUAAAGACCACAGGGGUCAGUGGGCUCCCGGAAACACAUCUCUGAGCUGGAUCCCGGGGGGGGGGGGGGGGGCAGUGAGCAACCCUCUUAGUUUGCAGAGCAAGAAUAAUUGCUCAUGCUGCCAUCAGGAAAGCCCUGCUCUCUACUCCGGGGAAGGAAACCUUUCUUGAGUUACUUCCCAGGAUUCAGCAACUCCUGGGAAUCAUCUGGUGAGCUCUGGAAAACCCAUGCAAAUCUGUGUAACUCUCCAAGAUUUUACAUGGAAGCCCUAACCCCCAAUACAAUGCUUUCUGGAGGUGGGAUCUUGGGAGGCAAUUAGGGUUAAGUCCUGAGGGUGGGGACCUGAUGUUGGAAUAACCAUCAUAGAAGAAAAGAGGUCCAGCCUCUGCUCUGUCCCAAGAAAGGCAAUAUGUGUCUUCUCAGAUUUCCAGAAUGACCUACGGAUUUGUUUUUUAAACCACCUAGUCUACAGUGUUGUGUUGGUGUGUUAAUCAGCUAGGGAUACAAGUCUUCAGCAAACUUGGGGUUCUCUGCCCUGAAGGCUCUCAUGAUCAGUAACACAAACUUCUUCAUAGCUGAUUCUUAUCAGGCUUCACCUAGAAGCAUCAAGGCUGAGUUGAGGGGCUCCAAGUACAAUGCAAUCCAUAAAGUUGUCUCCAGAGGAAAGGGGAGAAAAACAAAGAAUACUGUGUUGUAUUGGUCCCACAACUUGCUCCUUCACUGUGGAGUUCUGAACCAGAGCAAAACUGCUUAGCACUCCAUGAAACAAGAUGGAAUUACAUACAGUGUUCAAAUUUUGACCUGGCAUUGACCUUAAUCUGUUGAGUUUAAUUUUGUAUCCUUGGGAGGAAGAGUUGUAUUUCCUUCUUUGGUAGUUAAGAACUAAGCCAGAAGUAGUAGUCAUGACUGACUUCCUGCAGACCACUGAUCACUUGGGUCCUGUGAACAAUUAAGUAGUGACCAGAACUCUGUCAUGGAGUUUGUUCAGAAGUAGUGACUUAAACAUUGGCUCUGAGAUAAUACUACGCUUAAAAUUAACUUUAAUAAAGUAAGCAUUAAAGAGAAAGUAACAUGAGUCAUCAAUUCAACCCCCUGGAGUUUUCAGAUUAGAAAAAGUUGUGAUCCCUACUUGGGGUUUUCAGCCCUAGAGCUCACACCCCAGUGUCUGAGAUUCUGACUGAGACCCGGGUUGGCCCCUGACAACCAGGACGCUGUUUCUGUUUGUGGGCAGUCUGAGUUGGAAAACGAUAUUUCGGGGGAGACCAUAGAGGGGUACAGGGAAGCCUGGGAAGCUGGUUCUCCCUGGAUUUGAAUAUUUCUUUAGCAACAGAGAAGUGGGGACACAAGUGAGGAGUCUUCCUAGAGAUGAUAGGAGGUGAUGAGUUGGCCAUUCACAGGUUCUUGAAAGAGGGCCUUGAUGGUCACGAAGGAACAAGAAAAAGCCCACCAGAAUUCAAAUCCCGAAUCUCGCCGUGUGGGCUCCACCCGAUUGUUACUGAUCUCUGGGCUUCUUUUCCUACCUUGAAAGGGGAAGAACCACUCUAUAGACCACACUAGGGGAUUAAAGAGAACAUAAGUGAAAAGGCUGGAAAAACUUAAAAUUGUAUCAAGAACCUCAAGGAAACCACUUGAAAAACCACAACAAAAUAGGUUUCUUACUAUUGUAUCUAAAUCACUGAAAACCAAAAAGAAAUUAACUCGGAUGCCCAUUCAGGAUAUACUUUCUUUGUACAUUUUAAAAAUACUGGACUGAUGUCAUCACUGUAUGCUGCUUUUGUUCAUGAACAUUGUCCUGGGCUAGUUCUUUUUUUUUUUCAACGUUUGUUUAUUUUUGGGACAGAGAGACAGAGCAUGAACGGGGGAGGGGCAGAGAGAGAGGGAGACACAGAAUCGGAAACAGGCUCCAGGCUCCGAGCCAUCAGCCCAGAGCCCGACGCGGGGCUCGAACUCCCGGACCGCGAGAUCAUGACCUGGCUGAAGUCGGACACUUAACCGACUGCGCCACCCAGGCGCCCCCGUCCUGGGCUAGUUCUUGUCAUCAAAUAUUCUUUGUGUAUAAUGUUUGAUCCUAUAACUGCAUCAUGAGAUAACCAGUUGCCCUUGCUGACGUGCCUGUCUCCUCCACCCUUUAGUAUAACACCCCUGUGAAUAUUCUUUGGCUAGGUCUCUGGUUGUUUCCUUAGCGAUGGAAAUGACAUGACAGUCCCAAAGAAUUUGAGAUCUUGAUCUUUGCGGUCAUCUUUAGGGGGGGAAAAAACAGGCAGAAUGGGCAUCUAGAUUCAAAUGUCCCACUCUGUACUGAUUGUGGCCAUUGGAGGUGAACUCAAUUGUAGGCGAAUCACAUUAACCCGUGUAGUGAAGGCUCAGGGAACGUGUCUUCCCUUUUUCCUCUGCCCACAUAAGGCUCUAACUAGAGAGGUAACACCUUCCUGAAGGGCCAAACACUAGUCCGUUUUUCAUUAUCUUACCUGGAUGAUUUUCUGGAGAAGGUGAACACCUCAGGCUCAAUCUUAAGGUGGAUGUCUUCAUUUUACUACGGUUUCCGAGGGCUCAAAGCACUGUAUCUCAGGGCAGCCCAAGCCCUGUAGUUGUCCUGUGGGAGUCGAAUAUUGAGGAAGAACUCCCAAAUUCUAAGAGCAUUAGAAACUAACAUGCCCACCUAGCUAUGUGUUAAAAAAGACCAAGGAAACCAGAACGUUCUGGUCACUUGCUGACCGUUUCCACCAGAAAUUGAGGUGCCAAACUUGAGCAGAUGACUUAGGAAGACUAGUGGAUGGACCACUGAGUGCUAGUGGUAGUUUGUCUUCUCUGCCUGCCUACUGAUACUGGGAGAGCUGGGAUAUACAUCUGUGUCCCUGCAGGGAGUGGCUGAGUGCCGGGACUAGUCAUGGCUAAAUUAAGUGUGUCGCCUAAAAGGUCAAAAGGAAGGGUCGAGGGGUAGAGAAUAGUCUUCAGCUACUUGGAAGAAAAGUGUAAAGGAGUUGAAAUCCAAGGUCGCCUGGAAUUUCUAUAUGCUGACGUCUUUGCCAAUCACUCAGGUUGUUUAUUUUACCCUGGAGAGAGGAAUUCUUGGGCGUCGAAUCAGUGCCCAUGCCUUUGUGACCGUGCCUUUCAGCAAGCCAUAUUGAAACAAACCAUAACAUACACUCAUCUGUUAAAUUCUAGAAAAAUUUCCCCAACUGAAAUUCUUCUGGUGAGUCACAGAACAAUUAGGUCUUUAAAGGCUCCUCCCCUGCUCCCUGGAACAAUUUGGUGGGUUUGUUACAAUAGAAGGGAAUCAUGAUUCAUGGCGUUUGAAAUGUGGAGGUGAAUUAUGACAGUUUAAGAAAUCUGACUUAAGUGGAACACAAUUCUGAAAACAGGCUUUUAAAAACACCUGUGUUCUUUGGGGGCCCUGUCUCAUGACAGGACUUACAUGUGUGUGAGCCUGAACCAGGAAACUGUGCUUACUGGGAGAUAAUCCCUCGCAGGGACGACUGCCUCGCCGGGUGCAGGAGAUUGGAGACAAUGCAGACGACCCCUACAUCCUGGGUUCAUUUUAGGUGGGGCCCACCAUCUCCAGGGGUAAGAUCCAGGUCUGUCCAGCCAGUGGCUGGAUAACCUCUGGAAGAAAAGCUGGGCCUAAAUGUUCCCCAGGAAGAGAGAGGGAAAGGCAUGUGUGUAGAUGUGACCAAUCACAGGUGAGCAAACCGGACUCUGCUCCCCACCUCCAUGUAGCAGGAUGGGGAUGCUCGCCUGUCAGGACUGAUGGUCAGCUGUCCUACAUUCCACCUGAUUCCACAGCAGCAAUUGUGUUUCCUUCUAGCACUAUCCCUAUCUGUGUGGCCUCGGUGAAUUAACCUUGUGGGAGUCUAGUUUGUUCUUCAAGACCAAGGGACUGAUGGCUAACGUUUGUUCUCUUCGGUUGGUCUCUGAGGAGUGUUUGUGUGUUGAUGAACAAUACAUCUACAUAAA